GCCCUGGUGGUGCAAUGGUUAAACACUUGGUUGCUAAUCAAAAGAUUGGCGGUUCAAACCCACCCAAUGGCU
RNAcentral lists this transfer RNA (72 nucleotides) under Loxodonta africana (African savanna elephant). It matches the Rfam family "tRNA". From Rfam's summary of the family: Transfer RNA (tRNA) molecules are approximately 80 nucleotides in length. The record is from Rfam by way of RNAcentral. Lineage: Eukaryota; Metazoa; Chordata; Mammalia; Proboscidea; Elephantidae.